AUUAGUUUUUUAAUUGAAGGCUAGAAUGAAGGGUUGGACAAGAAAUAAUCUGUCUUAAAUUAACAUAUUGAAUUUAACUUUUAAGUGAAAAGGCUUAAAUGAUCUGAAGGGACGAUAAGACCCUAUAAAACUUUAUUUUUGUAAGGUAAGUAGUAAGUUUUAUUUUAAAAUAUUAUUUUAUGAAUAUUUGGUUGGGGCGACAAGGAUAAAAAAAAUAACUGUCUUUUUUUUUUUACAGUGAUGUCUGGUUUUAUGAUCCUAAAAGGGAUUUAAAGAUUAAGUUACUUUAGGGAUAACAGCGUAAUUUUCUUUAAGAGUUCUUAUCGACAAGAGAGUUUGCGACCUCGAUGUUGAAUUAAAAGUUCUUUAUAGAGUAGAGACUAUAAGAGAAGGUCUGUUCGACCUUUAAAAUUUUACAUGAUUUGAG
Molecule: ribosomal RNA, 427 nt
Filed under: Procambarus tlapacoyanensis
Lineage: Eukaryota; Metazoa; Arthropoda; Malacostraca; Decapoda; Cambaridae
Description: partial large subunit ribosomal RNA
Rfam family: Bacterial large subunit ribosomal RNA (bases 80-427)
Source: RNAcentral